RNAcentral lists this ribosomal RNA (497 nucleotides) under uncultured bacterium. Its description in RNAcentral is "partial 16S ribosomal RNA". It matches the Rfam family "Bacterial small subunit ribosomal RNA", at positions 28 to 507 of the family's 1533-position model. The record is from RNAcentral.
GAUGAACGCUGGCGGCGUGCCUAAUACAUGCAAGUCGAGCGAACAGACGAGGAGCUUGCUCCUCUGACGUUAGCGGCGGACGGGUGAGUAACACGUGGAUAACCUACCUAUAAGACUGGGAUAACUUCGGGAAACCGGAGCUAAUACCGGAUAAUAUAUUGAACCGCAUGGUUCAAUAGUGAAAGACGGUUUUGCUGUCACUUAUAGAUGGAUCCGCGCCGCAUUAGCUAGUUGGUAAGGUAACGGCUUACCAAGGCAACGAUGCGUAGCCGACCUGAGAGGGUGAUCGGCCACACUGGAACUGAGACACGGUCCAGACCCCUACGGGAGGCAGCAGUAGGGAAUCUUCCGCAAUGGGCGAAAGCCUGACGGAGCAACGCCGCGUGAAUGAUGAAGGUCUUCGGAUCGUAAAACUCUGUUAUUAGGGAAGAACAAAUGUGUAAGUAACUAUGCACGUCUUGACGGUACCUAAUCAGAAAGCCACGGCUAACUACGUG